RNAcentral lists this ribosomal RNA (434 nucleotides) under uncultured bacterium. RNAcentral's name for it is "bacterial SSU rRNA". It matches the Rfam family "Bacterial small subunit ribosomal RNA", at positions 29 to 507 of the family's 1533-position model. The record is from RNAcentral.
AACGAACGCUGGCGGCAGGCCUAACACAUGCAAGUCGAGCGAACCCUUCGGGGUUAGCGGCGGACGGGUUAGUAACGCGUGGGAAUAUACCCUUUGGUACGGAAUAGCCUCGGGAAACUGAGAGUAAUACCGUAUGUGCCCCUUCGGGGGAAAGAUUUAUCGCCAAAGGAUUAGCCCGCGUUGGAUUAGAUAGUUGGUGGGGUAAUGGCCUACCAAGUCUACGAUCCAUAGCUGGUUUGAGAGGAUGAUCAGCAACACUGGGACUGAGACACGGCCCAGACUCCUACGGGAGGCAGCAGUGGGGAAUCUUAGACAAUGGGCGCAAGCCUGAUCUAGCCAUGCCGCGUGGACGACGAAGGCCUUAGGGUUGUAAAGUCCUUUCAGAUGGGAAGAUAAUGACGGUACCAUCAGAAGAAGCCCCGGCUAACUCCGUG